Molecule: ribosomal RNA, 561 nt
Filed under: uncultured bacterium
Lineage: Bacteria
Description: partial 16S ribosomal RNA
Rfam family: Bacterial small subunit ribosomal RNA
Source: RNAcentral
UGGGGAAUUUUGGACAAUGGGCGAAAGCCUGAUCCAGCAAUGCCGCGUGUGUGAAGAAGGCCUUCGGGUUGUAAAGCACUUUUGUCCGGAAAGAAAUCCUUGGCUCUAAUACAGUCGGGGGAUGACGGUACCGGAAGAAUAAGCACCGGGCUAACUACGUGCCAGCAGCCGCGGUAAUACGUAGGGUGCAAGCGUUAAUCGGAAUUACUGGGCGUAAAGCGUGCGCAGGCGGUUUGCUAAGACCGAUGUGAAAUCCCCGGGCUCAACCUGGGAACUGCAUUGGUGACUGGCAGGCUAGAGUAUGGCAGAGGGGGGUAGAAUUCCACGUGUAACAGUGAAAUGCGUAGAGAUGUGGAGGAAUACCGAUGGCGAAAGGCAGCCCCCUGGGCCAAAUACUGACGCUCAUGCACGAAAAGCGUGGGGAGCAAACAGGAUUAGAUACCCUGGGUAGUCCACGCCCUAAAACGAUGUCAACUAGUUGUUGGGGACUUCAUUUCCUUAGUAACGUAGCUAACGCGUGAAGUUGACCGCCUGGGGAGUACGGUCGCAAGAUUAAAACUU